UCAGAAUAAACCAUGGGAGGCCGAGAAUGUGUUGUCCCAGCAAGUGACAGCAGUGCAGUAACAUCUGUUGAUCAGCAGGUCAUCCGCAGGCAUCUCAAUCCUCAUCAACUGCCCAGGAAAACGACUGUGACAGGUGCUAAUUGGUGAUUAUAGGAAAGAAUACCUUUGGACUGGAAGAAGUGCUCCAGGUGAAACUAAAAACAGUGUUUUGGAUUUGAGCUGAGAGAGGUGUAUAAUGAGAAGCCAAAUAAAGAUGCCGGCUUUUGUGA
RNAcentral lists this long non-coding RNA (269 nucleotides) under Urocitellus parryii (Arctic ground squirrel). Its description in RNAcentral is "lncRNA (ENSUPAG00010006833.1)". The record is from RNAcentral. Lineage: Eukaryota; Metazoa; Chordata; Mammalia; Rodentia; Sciuridae.